Molecule: non-coding RNA, 116 nt
Organism: Atopostipes suicloacalis DSM 15692
Lineage: Bacteria; Bacillati; Bacillota; Bacilli; Lactobacillales; Carnobacteriaceae
Source: Rfam
UUUGGUGAUUAAUGCAAGAAGGUACCACCUGUUCCCAUGCCGAACACAGCCGUUAAGCUUCUUAGCGCCGAGGAUAGUGAAGGGUUUCCCUUUGUGAAAGCCGGACAUUGCCAUUC